GCCUGGGUGGCUCAGUCGGUUGAGCGUCCGACUUCGGCUCAAGUCACCAUCUCACAGUGUGCGGGUUCGAGCCCCGCGUCGGGCU
This 85-nucleotide transfer RNA is filed under the name Felis catus (domestic cat). It matches the Rfam family "tRNA". Rfam says of the family: Transfer RNA (tRNA) molecules are approximately 80 nucleotides in length. Lineage: Eukaryota; Metazoa; Chordata; Mammalia; Carnivora; Felidae. The record is from Rfam by way of RNAcentral.